Molecule: ribosomal RNA, 460 nt
Filed under: uncultured bacterium
Lineage: Bacteria
Description: partial 16S ribosomal RNA
Rfam family: Bacterial small subunit ribosomal RNA
Source: RNAcentral
CCUACGGGUGGCAGCAGUGAGGAAUAUUGGUCAAUGGUCGGGAGACUGAACCAGCCAAGUCGCGUGAGGGAUGAAGGCACUGCGGAUUGUAAACUUCUUUUGUAAGGGAAUAAAGUGUGGCACGUGUCCCUGGUUGUAUGUACUUGAUGAAAAAGGAUCGGCUAACUCCGUGCCAGCAGCCGCGGUAAUACGUAGGAUCCGAGCGUUAUCCGGAUUUAGUGGGUGUAAAGGGAGAGUAGAUGGGUUGUUAAGUCAGUUGUGAAAGUUUGAGGCUCAACCGUAAAAUUGCAAUAGAUACUGGCAGCCUUGAGUACAGUUGAGGUAGGCGGAAUUCGUGGUGUAGCGGUGAAAUGCUUAGAUAUUACGAAGAACUCCGAUUGCGAAGGCAGCUUACUAAACUGCCACUGACACUGAUGCUCGAAAGUGUGGGGAGCAAACAGGAUUAGAUACCCCUGUAGUC